CAAACCCUCAGCUGUGGGUCUCGCACCCACGGCCGGUCUUGAGCUCGGUCGCUUGCGGUCAAACGCGAGGCCGGCUUUAAAUUGGCAGCUCUGCGGUCAACGGCUUUGGAAGAACAUAGUAAAUCAUUCUUGUUCACACCCAUCAGCUGCUUGAUCCGCCUGAAGAACAAACCACAUCACAUCAAG
This 186-nucleotide unclassified non-coding RNA is filed under the name uncultured Ascomycota. Its description in RNAcentral is "sequence contains ITS2". Lineage: Eukaryota; Fungi; Ascomycota. The record is from RNAcentral.